UACAGGGGGGGCAAGCGUUGUUCGGAAUUACUGGGCGUAAAGGGUCUGUAGGUGGCCAACUAAGUCAGACGUGAAAUCCCUCAGCUUAACUGGGGAACUGCGUCUGAUACUGGAUGGCUUGAGUGUGGGAGAGGAAUGCGGAAUUCCAGGUGUAGCGGUGAAAUGCGUAGAUAUCUGGAGGAACACCGGUGGCGAAGGCGGCAUUCUGGACCAUAACUGACACUGAGAGACGAAAGCCAGGGGAGCAAACAGG
RNAcentral lists this ribosomal RNA (253 nucleotides) under uncultured bacterium. RNAcentral describes it as "partial 16S ribosomal RNA". It matches the Rfam family "Bacterial small subunit ribosomal RNA", at positions 524 to 776 of the family's 1533-position model. The record is from RNAcentral.